Molecule: ribosomal RNA, 1331 nt
Filed under: Arthrobacter sp.
Lineage: Bacteria; Bacillati; Actinomycetota; Actinomycetes; Micrococcales; Micrococcaceae
Description: bacterial SSU rRNA
Rfam family: Bacterial small subunit ribosomal RNA
Source: RNAcentral
GGGAUUAGUGGCGAACGGGUGAGUAACACGUGAGUAACCUGCCCUUGACUCUGGGAUAAGCCUGGGAAACUGGGUCUAAUACCGGAUAUGACCAUCUGACGCAUGUCAUGGUGGUGGAAAGCUUUUGUGGUUUUGGAUGGACUCGCGGCCUAUCAGCUUGUUGGUGGGGUAAUGGCCUACCAAGGCGACGACGGGUAGCCGGCCUGAGAGGGUGACCGGCCACACUGGGACUGAGACACGGCCCAGACUCCUACGGGAGGCAGCAGUGGGGAAUAUUGCACAAUGGGCGGAAGCCUGAUGCAGCGACGCCGCGUGAGGGAUGACGGCCUUCGGGUUGUAAACCUCUUUCAGUAGGGAAGAAGCGAAAGUGACGGUACCUGCAGAAGAAGCGCCGGCUAACUACGUGCCAGCAGCCGCGGUAAUACGUAGGGCGCAAGCGUUAUCCGGAAUUAUUGGGCGUAAAGAGCUCGUAGGCGGUUUGUCGCGUCUGCUGUGAAAGACCGGGGCUCAACUCCGGUUCUGCAGUGGGUACGGGCAGACUAGAGUGCAGUAGGGGAGACUGGAAUUCCUGGUGUAGCGGUGAAAUGCGCAGAUAUCAGGAGGAACACCGAUGGCGAAGGCAGGUCUCUGGGCUGUAACUGACGCUGAGGAGCGAAAGCAUGGGGAGCGAACAGGAUUAGAUACCCUGGUAGUCCAUGCCGUAAACGUUGGGCACUAGGUGUGGGGGACAUUCCACGUUUUCCGCGCCGUAGCUAACGCAUUAAGUGCCCCGCCUGGGGAGUACGGCCGCAAGGCUAAAACUCAAAGGAAUUGACGGGGGCCCGCACAAGCGGCGGAGCAUGCGGAUUAAUUCGAUGCAACGCGAAGAACCUUACCAAGGCUUGACAUGAACCGGAAAGACCUGGAAACAGGUGCCCCGCUUGCGGUCGGUUUACAGGUGGUGCAUGGUUGUCGUCAGCUCGUGUCGUGAGAUGUUGGGUUAAGUCCCGCAACGAGCGCAACCCUCGUUCUAUGUUGCCAGCGCGUUAUGGCGGGGACUCAUAGGAGACUGCCGGGGUCAACUCGGAGGAAGGUGGGGACGACGUCAAAUCAUCAUGCCCCUUAUGUCUUGGGCUUCACGCAUGCUACAAUGGCCGGUACAAAGGGUUGCGAUACUGUGAGGUGGAGCUAAUCCCAAAAAGCCGGUCUCAGUUCGGAUUGGGGUCUGCAACUCGACCCCAUGAAGUCGGAGUCGCUAGUAAUCGCAGAUCAGCAACGCUGCGGUGAAUACGUUCCCGGGCCUUGUACACACCGCCCGUCAAGUCACGAAAGUUGGUAACACCCGAAGCCGG